GACGAACGCUGGCGGCGUGCUUAACACAUGCAAGUCGAACGGAAAGGCCCUGCUUUUGUGGGGUGCUCGAGUGGCGAACGGGUGAGUAACACGUGAGUAACCUGCCCUUUACUUUGGGAUAACUUCAGGAAACUGGGGCUAAUACCGGAUAGGAGCUCCUGCUGCAUGGUGGGGGUUGGAAAGUUUCGGCGGUUGGGGAUGGACUCGCGGCUUAUCAGCUUGUUGGUGGGGUAGUGGCUUACCAAGGCUUUGACGGGUAGCCGGCCUGAGAGGGUGACCGGCCACAUUGGGAAUGAGAUACGGCCCAGACUCCUACGGGAGGCAGCAGUGGGGAAUAUUGCACAAUGGGCGGAAGCCUGAUGCAGCAACGCCGCGUGCGGGAUGACGGCCUUCGGGUUGUAAACCGCUUUCGCCUGUGACGAAGCGUGAGUGACGGUAAUGGGUAAAGAAGCACCGGCUAACUACGUG
Molecule: ribosomal RNA, 468 nt
Filed under: uncultured bacterium
Lineage: Bacteria
Description: partial 16S ribosomal RNA
Rfam family: Bacterial small subunit ribosomal RNA
Source: RNAcentral